Molecule: long non-coding RNA, 753 nt
Filed under: Equus caballus (horse)
Lineage: Eukaryota; Metazoa; Chordata; Mammalia; Perissodactyla; Equidae
Description: lncRNA (ENSECAG00000044112.1)
Source: RNAcentral
GAGCGCUGAGCCGACGCCGCCCAUCUGCCUCUGCCCGCGCCUGUUUCAGCUGUUAAACACGCCCAUUUCUUCCCUUAAGAAGGAGGCUGCAAGGUGUUCUGUUUUGAAAAUGAUAAAAAAUGGCACUGAUGCUACUAAUGCUCUCUGGAUUGUAAGUGCGAGAGAUCCUGUGGUAUCUGACCGUGACCACCUUUCUUUUCACCAUGUUCCCAAAGAGCCUGCAGAACUGUGGAAAUUGGAGAAUUGUAUUUCCCUCUUGGAAAUGUGGACACGAGGAAGAGAGGCUGAGCCCUGUGCUGGUGUGCAGAGUGCUGAGGCCAAGAGCACGAUGGUUACGUGUGAGGUGGUAUUAUGGCAACACCAACUGGGAGACACGGAGAAGACGGUUGGGAAGAGCCGAGGGAGUCCUGAAAGAGAUUGCCAGCAGGAGAAAAUUAACUCAGCUCUCGUGGCCUUCCAGCUCCCAAGGCCAGUGUGCAUGAGGCUGACCCUUGUCUUCUUGAAAUGAAGUGUAACUCUUUCAAAGUAGGAAGCUGGGAAUUUUCUCCACUAGAAUCAAGGAGGAGAAUGAAAAGGCAGGAAAUAAGAACUGGGAGAUUUCUUGAGAGUGGAUAUUCUGCUAAGGUCGCUGCCUUAUAAGGGAGUCCUUGACCUGAGGUCCAUGAACUGAUGGGCUGCUGGGAGUGAUGAGCUCCUCAGAAGCUCAGGUAGACGUUUAUGGGCAUUUGUGCAUAACUGCAUUUUAUAGAGGAU